AUGACAACAGUGGAUCUCAACAAUCUUGCGUAUGCAGACGAACCGUUCGUCCUAGCCAAUGAUGUGGCACAAGUUAUCUAUGUGAAGGACAUGUCUACCAAACCGAGAAAAAGAAAAGAUAAGGAAGCGAAUACAUCAUACGAUGAGCCAAAGUGCCACAUAGUUCUUUUAGGAAAAAGGGACAUCGUGGGAGUGGAGGGCAAGACAGACAUAUCUGAAGAUUAUGAAAAGUUUCAUGAAAUUCCUCCCUUCAAAGUCAAGGCUGACCCAAGCAUCCUGAUAAACCAUGAAGAUUAUCCAUGGUUACGGCGCAAUAAGCAAAUGACACAAGCGAGGAAAAAGUGA
RNAcentral lists this ribosomal RNA (345 nucleotides) under Triticum aestivum (bread wheat). Its description in RNAcentral is "partial small subunit ribosomal RNA". Lineage: Eukaryota; Viridiplantae; Streptophyta; Magnoliopsida; Poales; Poaceae. The record is from RNAcentral.